RNAcentral lists this ribosomal RNA (400 nucleotides) under Bacillus anthracis (anthrax bacterium). RNAcentral's name for it is "bacterial SSU rRNA". It matches the Rfam family "Bacterial small subunit ribosomal RNA", at positions 39 to 424 of the family's 1533-position model. The record is from RNAcentral. Lineage: Bacteria; Bacillati; Bacillota; Bacilli; Caryophanales; Bacillaceae.
ACCGGUGCGGCAUGCUAUACUGGCAGUCGAGCGAAUGGAUUAAGAGCUUGCUCUUAUGAAGUUAGCGGCGGACGGGUGAGUAACACGUGGGUAACCUGCCCAUAAGACUGGGAUAACUCCGGGAAACCGGGGCUAAUACCGGAUAACAUUUUGAACCGCAUGGUUCGAAAUUGAAAGGCGGCUUCGGCUGUCACUUAUGGAUGGACCCGCGUCGCAUUAGCUAGUUGGUGAGGUAACGGCUCACCAAGGCAACGAUGCGUAGCCGACCUGAGAGGGUGAUCGGCCACACUGGGACUGAGACACGGCCCAGACUCCUACGGGAGGCAGCAGUAGGGAAUCUUCCGCAAUGGACGAAAGUCUGACGGAGCAACGCCGCGUGAGUGAUGAAGGCUUUCGGGUC